Long non-coding RNA from Helianthus annuus (common sunflower), 1530 nucleotides. RefSeq lists it as uncharacterized. The transcript is spliced from 2 exons. Lineage: Eukaryota; Viridiplantae; Streptophyta; Magnoliopsida; Asterales; Asteraceae. The record is from RefSeq and is a predicted model, not a curated record.
CUUGAUCAGUGCAUGGUCUUCAUUGAACUUGAGAUCUUCAAUUCUUCCAUUGGUAACAUGGGAGUCAUGCACUUAUCACCCAAAGUGCAUUAACAAACUCCCCCUUGAUCAGUGCAUGGUCUUCAUUGAACUUGAGAUCUUCAUCCGUUCUUCGAGAGCUGCUUUCUGCCCAGACCUUGUUCUUCACACAGUACUGAACCACCUUGAUGGACUGGUCAGCUAGAACACGAUCUUCUUCAUUGUAUUUUAGAGGCAGGCGCCGAAGCUUCUUCGGAUGUGCUCCCCUUAAGUUUGCAAGCCAAAUCAGAUCCAGCACCUUAGCAAUCUCCUCCGUCACUUUCGUUUUAGAAAUCACUGAUUCCCCAGUCUUGAGAUGCACGAGCCAGAUGCACACAGCUUCUCCAAAUAUUCCAUCUUGAGAUGAACGAUCCAGAUGCACACAGCUUCUCCAAUCUUUCAUCUUGAGAUGAACGAUCCAGACCUGAAACACUUAACCCAGGAUUAAGAAACUUGACCCCGAAGAUAUCGGCCCAAACCUGGAUCCCAAAAAUAACUUCCAAUACCCCAGAAUAAACAAUUGAAAUAUUAAACAACCAACAUUUAAUAACUUAUUUAAACAAUUUUCACAACCCUAGAGUAUUUUUCAGAAUGAUAACUCGCACACAGAAACAAGAAAGCAAAAUCUUUUUGAGGUUUUUUUUUUUUUUUUUAAUUUUUGACUGAAAUGGAAAUUAAACCUACGAACAUACUUACACUAAUUGUCUUUUUGCGAAAUCGGAGCAAAGGAAUCAUAUCGGUUUUUCUGUCGGUAUUCAACACAAAAACCAUGGCAUUUAGCUUUAAUGUUUUAGAAUAAUGUUGACAGUUCAAGACGUUCAACGGUAUUGUGGUCCACUUAAGUUUUAGCACGCUUUCGAACACUGUUUUCGAGAUAUGGAAUUAAGUGUAUUAAGCUGACAUUAACUGUGUUUACCCACCUCAGAAUAUACUCCCGUAUCAAGGUAUGCGCGAGAGAUCAUCUUACUGAUGCAAAGGGCACAAGAGCAAGUCAUUUGUGAUAGAAUCACUUAUUGAGGAUAGACUUGACUCCCGCAAGAUUUUGAGGGACAUGUGAUUGUUUAUCACUUAUUCGGGUCGGGUGCAUCAUGUAUUGAAGAAAUUUACACGUAUUUAUGGUAUCAUGGAAGAUCUAGACUUGCGUCCCCGUUGUUUUCGGUAAAAGAAGCAACCAUGAUACCCAGAUGAUAAACAGCAUAAAGACCACGUAUCUCAGAACCUCGGCAAUCUAUCAAACGAAAUUACGGUACCAAGACCAUAUAUCCGAGAGAUGCGCCACACGAGUUACGCAGUUCAUUAUGUUUAUAUACCAAAGACAGGUUCUUAUUUACGCGUAAAACCUACCGAUGCAACGUAUAAUGAAGCUGUCACAUUUAAAAGUUAAUCUCAUAUAUAUAUAGCCAUAGUCCUGCACCAGAUACGACUAACCAAUGUACUAUCAUUUUCCUUAUAUCUCAACACAACUUCAUUUUA